This 497-nucleotide ribosomal RNA is filed under the name uncultured bacterium. RNAcentral describes it as "partial 16S ribosomal RNA". It matches the Rfam family "Bacterial small subunit ribosomal RNA", at positions 28 to 507 of the family's 1533-position model. The record is from RNAcentral.
GAUGAACGCUGGCGGCGUGCCUAAUACAUGCCAGUCGAGCGAACAGAUGAGGAGCUUGCUCCUCUGACGUUAGCGGCGGACGGGUGAGUAACACGUGGAUAACCUACCUAUAAGACUGGGAUAACUUCGGGAAACCGGAGCUAAUACCGGAUAAUAUAUUGAACCGCAUGGUUCAAUAGUGAAAGACGGUUUUGCUGUCACUUAUAGAUGGAUCCGCGCCGCAUUAGCUAGUUGGUAAGGUAACGGCUUACCAAGGCAACGAUGCGUAGCCGACCUGAGAGGGUGAUCGGCCACACUGGAACUGAGGCACGGUGCAGACUCCUACGGGAGGCAGCAGUAGGGAAUCUUCCGCAAUGGGCGGAAGCCUGACGGAGCAACGCCGCGUGAGUGAUGAAGGUCUUCGGAUCGUAAAACUCUGUUAUUAGGGAAGAACAAAUGUGUAAGUAACUAUGCACGUCUUGACGGUACCUAAUCAGAAAGCCACGGCUAACUACGUG